This 581-nucleotide ribosomal RNA is filed under the name uncultured marine eukaryote. Its description in RNAcentral is "SSU rRNA". It matches the Rfam family "Eukaryotic small subunit ribosomal RNA", at positions 618 to 1201 of the family's 1831-position model. The record is from RNAcentral.
GUUAAAAAGCUCGUAGUUGGAUUUCUGUGUUGGUGAGGCGGCCGGCCACUCGUGGUUGUAGCUAGUUAUCACCGACGCAUCUUGUCACAAUCCUGUCUGGCCUUCACUGGUUGGAUAUGGGGACUGACUCGUUUACUUUGAGAAAAUUAGAGUGUUCAAAGCAGGCUAUCGCCUUGAAUAUAUUAGCAUGGAAUAAUGAUAUAGGACUUUGGUUCUAUUUUGUUGGUUGUUCGAGAACCGAAGUAAUGAUUGAUAGGGACAGUUGGGGGCAUCAGUAUUCUGAAGCGAGAGGUGAAAUUCUUGGACCUUCGGAAGACUAACAGCUGCGAAAGCGUUUGCCUAGGAUGUUCUCUUUAAUCAAGAACGAAAGUUGGGGGAUCGAAGACGAUCAGAUACCGUCGUAGUCUCAACUAUAAACUAUGCCAGCUAGGGAUUGGUGGACGUUUAUUUACGACUCCAUCAGCACCUUAUGAGAAAUCAAAGCAUUUGGGUUCCGGGGGGAGUAUGGUCGCAAGGCUGAAACUUAAAGGAAUUGACGGGAGGGCGCCACCAGGAGUGGAGCCUGUGGCUUAAUUUGACUC